CAACGCUCCCCAAUGUAGCCUGGUACGCAACUGCAACGUGUCAAAGAAAAGCUUGUUUCAAGGCGUAGGACUCCAUGUCGGGAAGGUAGAAGCAGAUCCCCUCAUACAGACAGUAAGAUUCRUGGCUGGAGGGACACCUCUCCGCUGAGUUACUGCUGUGGCGCCGGGUGGUUACAUCAACAGGACUGGGAGACGUCAUCCAUGGGCCCAUGACAGUCUGUAUGAAGAUACACUGCGAGCUCACCUUCCCUCAGGAGCUUCCUGGCGCACUCCAGCUCUUGGCAGACA
Austrofundulus limnaeus is the source of this 288-nucleotide long non-coding RNA. RefSeq lists it as uncharacterized. NCBI's taxonomy places the organism in Eukaryota, Metazoa, Chordata, Actinopteri, Cyprinodontiformes, Rivulidae. The record is from RefSeq and is a predicted model, not a curated record. The transcript has 3 exons.